GGUGGAAUAGUUGGAAUCACUUCAACUGCAAAAUUGAUGAGAAAAUCAUCAAAGCAACCGCUGAUGCUCUGAUUUCCACCGGGCUCUCUAAACUUGGAUAUACCUACGUUAACAUUGAUGAUUGCUGGGCCGAAAUUGCUCGUGAUGACAAGGGUAAUCUAGCGCCCAAGAAAUCAACCUUUCCAUCAGGCAUUAAAUCUCUUGCGGAUUAUGUCCACAGUAAGGGUCUUAAGCUAGGAAUCUACUCAGAUGC
Prunus mume (Japanese apricot) is the source of this 253-nucleotide non-coding RNA. The record is from RefSeq and is a predicted model, not a curated record. NCBI's taxonomy places the organism in Eukaryota, Viridiplantae, Streptophyta, Magnoliopsida, Rosales, Rosaceae.